RNAcentral lists this signal recognition particle RNA (315 nucleotides) under Candidatus Methanophagales archaeon. Its description in RNAcentral is "ANME-1 cluster archaeon signal recognition particle sRNA". It matches the Rfam family "Archaeal signal recognition particle RNA". The record is from RNAcentral. Lineage: Archaea; Methanobacteriati; Methanobacteriota; Methanomicrobia; Candidatus Methanophagales.
GUGCGGGCUAGCCUGGAGGGUUCGACGUCCUUUGUCACUCGAAAUCGCCGAUAUGCGAGAGGCGAAGCUUGAGUAAGGCACUGUAGCUGUUAGUUUCAGCUUGGAGUCCAACGAAGAAGCAUCGUCCUGCGGGGUUGACGGUAGUAUGGUGCCAAGCCGGAGGGUUUGUUGCCAUGCCUUUGCUAUGGAUACCGGUUUAGGCCCGGAAGGGAGCAGACUUACCGUAGACGGUUGGCGCUCGUAGGGUAGCGAUGUGGAGGAAGACUUUGAGGGCCUGACUGACGGUGAAAGUGUCGAACGAGAGCGCGCCCGCAC